AACGAACGCUGGCGGCGUGCCUAACACAUGCAAGUCGCGCGCGAAGGGCUUCGGCCUUGUAGAGCGGCGCACGGGUGAGUAACACGUGGGUAAUCUUCCUUCAGGACUGGGGAUAACCCGGGGAAACUCGGGCUAAUACCGGAUAAGACCACGCAACGAGAGUUGCGCGGGAAAAGCGGAGGACCUCUUCGGAGGCUUCGUACCAGAAGAUGAGCCCGCGGCCCAUCAGGUAGUUGGCGGGGUAACGGCCCACCAAGCCUAAGACGGGUAGCUGGUCUGAGAGGAUGAUCAGCCACACUGGAACUGAGACACGGUCCAGACUCCUACGGGAGGCAG
Molecule: ribosomal RNA, 336 nt
Filed under: uncultured Pseudomonadota bacterium
Lineage: Bacteria; Pseudomonadati; Pseudomonadota
Description: bacterial SSU rRNA
Rfam family: Bacterial small subunit ribosomal RNA
Source: RNAcentral